AGAUUGAACGCUGGCGGCAUGCCUUACACAUGCAAGUCGAACGGCAGCACGGGAGCAAUCCUGGUGGCGAGUGGCGAACGGGUGAGUAAUACAUCGGAACGUGCCCAGUCGUGGGGGAUAACGCAGCGAAAGCUGUGCUAAUACCGCAUACGAUCUAUGGAUGAAAGCGGGGGAUCGCAAGACCUCGCGCGAUUGGAGCGGCCGAUAUCAGAUUAGCUAGUUGUGGGUAAAAGCUACCAAGGCGACGAUCUGUAGCUGGUCUGAGAGGACGACCAGCCACACUGGAACUGAGACACGGUCCAGACUCCUACGGGAGGCAGCAGUGGGGAAUUUUGGACAAUGGGCGCAAGCCUGAUCCAGCAAUGACCGCGUGCAGGAUGAAGCCUUGGUGUAACUAGACUUUGUACGAACGAAACGGUUACUACUCUAAUACUAGGGACUAAGUAGAACGGUACCGUAAAGAAGUAAGACGAACCGCGAAACGUACGUAGACCG
Molecule: ribosomal RNA, 495 nt
Filed under: uncultured soil bacterium
Lineage: Bacteria
Description: bacterial SSU rRNA
Rfam family: Bacterial small subunit ribosomal RNA
Source: RNAcentral